Molecule: long non-coding RNA, 546 nt
Organism: Dioscorea cayenensis subsp. rotundata (Guinea yam)
Lineage: Eukaryota; Viridiplantae; Streptophyta; Magnoliopsida; Dioscoreales; Dioscoreaceae
Exons: 3
Source: RefSeq, a predicted model, not a curated record
GGCCAAUCCCUUCCUUUUUCCUUAGAAAGCUUUCCGCGACCAUUCCGGCGAACCAAACCCUGAAAAAAUCCUCCUCUUUUAUUCUUAAAUAUGGUGGGGAGAGCGCCACUCGAGAGAAAGAACCCGCGGAGGAAUAACACCUUUUGGGAAAAAUCCGGUCUUCUAAGUUCCUUUAUAGGUGGCGUGGAGGAUCAGAUUUGAUUAUCCUUUUCAGGUGGUGCAGAGAAACCUGAUUGGAUGGUACAUUGGGAUUCCUGAGUCACCAUACGGAACCGGUGGGUCAACGUCAAGAACGUGAGAACCUUAACAGCUUUGAACUUAGCCGCGACCACGGCUAUUGUUUGGGGGGUUUUCUAGACCUUAAUUUAUCGAGAUGCAAGUUUGAUGUUGAGAAAUUAUAUAACUUAUGUGGAAUUAUUCUUGCAUUGAUCCCUCGUAUGCAUUUGAAGAGAAAAGAAUGAGUUUUAUGCCAAAUUUGGGUAUGUGUGAAAGUUGGAAACUUGAUUUGAUCAAAUUGAUGUUUACACUCAUUAUGUUUAUGGGGCU